UACGUAGGGUGCGAGCGUUAAUCGGAAUUACUGGGCGUAAAGCGUGCGUAGGCGGUCCCGCAAGUCCGCUGUGAAAGCCCCGAGCUUAACUUGGGAACUGCAGUGGAAACUAUGGGACUUGAAUCCGGCAGAGGGGGGUGGAAUGCCACGUGUAGCAGUGAAAUGCGUAGAGAUGUGGAGGAACACCAGUGGCGAAGGCGACUCUUUGGCCUGUAACUGACGCUGAGGCGCGAAAGCGUGGGGAGCAAACAGG
This 253-nucleotide ribosomal RNA is filed under the name uncultured bacterium. RNAcentral describes it as "partial 16S ribosomal RNA". It matches the Rfam family "Bacterial small subunit ribosomal RNA", at positions 524 to 776 of the family's 1533-position model. The record is from RNAcentral.